This 318-nucleotide ribosomal RNA is filed under the name uncultured bacterium. Its description in RNAcentral is "bacterial SSU rRNA". It matches the Rfam family "Bacterial small subunit ribosomal RNA", at positions 28 to 346 of the family's 1533-position model. The record is from RNAcentral.
GACGAACGCUGGCGGCGUGCUUAACACAUGCAAGUCGAGCGGUAAGGCCCCUUCGGGGGUACACGAGCGGCGAACGGGUGAGUAACACGUGAGCAACCUACCCUCAACUUCGGGAUAAGCCUCGGAAACGGGGUCUAAUACCGGAUAUCACUUUCCACCUCAUGGUGGGGGGUUGAAAGUUCUGGCGGUUGGGGAGUGGGCUCGCGGCCUAUCAGCUUGGUUGGUGGGGUAAUGGCCUACCAAGGCGUCGACGGGUAGCCGGCCUGAGAGGGCGACCGGCCACACUGGGACUGAGACACGGCCCAGACUCCUACGGGA